UUGCUUGAAAAAUUUAAAAGAAUAUUAAUUAAUAUUUUUAAAUUUUACUAGUAUUUUAGUAAACAUAAAGAAUUAUUUUUUAUUAAUUUAGAAUUUUAGUUUAUAGAUUUUAAUUAUUUUAUUUUAAUGGUGGAUUAUUAAAAUAAUUAAGGUAUAUUAAAAUAAUUUAUUAAAAAUAGCUCCCUAAUUACAACACACUUUUAAUUGAUGUUUAUUUAUAGUCUCUCAAUUUUAUUAUAUUUUUAAUUAAUUUGAAAAUUUAUAAAAUAAAUAAAAGAGAAAUUUAUAAUAAUUAAAGAGAGGGUAUAAAUCAAAAUUAACCGUUAAUAGAAGUGGGUGGUAUAAUUUAUUAGUCUAAAAGCUUGUUGAAAUUAGUGCAUUUUCUUCAAUAUCGUCUAAUUUAUUAUUCUGAAACAUAGUAUAUAUAUAUAUUAUUAGAGCUUUCUUCGGGCAAUGUUCAGAGAUAUGGCACGCGCAUAGAAAAGCGAGUAGCAAUCAUAAUAAUAUUCGAAGAACCAAAAGUGCCAAAGUGCCUGUAUCCACACUACACGCACAACAUAGAGAAUCGCAAACAAAAGGGCGCGUGAAGUCUAUAAAGGGCAGGUUCACUUCUUAUCCUCUGCAAAAGUGAUCACCGUACUCUAACCCAAAAGACCCAAUAAAUCACUUGCCACGUCAAAAGACAUUUGAGCCUCACCGACGUGGCAGCUAGCGAAUGGAGAAGCAGAAAUUUUCAGGGAUUUUAGUGUAGUAGGUUGUAGAGAAUUAUGACUGUGUACAUGAGCAAUGGAGAAGGCAGACUGAGACUGCAAAAAGCAAAGAGCAAGAAAUGAAAGGGAAACCCUAACUUGAUGAGGGAAAUAAUAAGUGGGGUCCAAGUGGAAAUUGUAAAGAAAUGAAGAUUGAAUUGACCAAACAUUUACACUACAAGCAGACAAAAGUUAGUAUCAAAGGCUGCUUAAAUAUGCUUUAACUAUGAGAUUAAAGUAAGCUUUUGAGUCUUUCUGGCUGUUGGCCUUACUUUCAGGUAAAGCCAACUGGUUAAAAAAGGUAAUCAUUUAAAAAAAAAUGUGCUAAACCCCAAAGAUUAGGUAUGGCAUUCCUCCCUAAUAUUAUUGGAGGAAAAGAAAAGGACAAAUUACUGUAUAUUUCAUGUGUAUAAAAAAAUCUAAGUAAACUUUGGCUUUGUUGUGUUUUCCAUCUCUCUUAAGUUUUCUUAGAGAGGAUUUUCUCUCCGUUAAGGUUCCACCUCAGAGGCAGUAGGAUUUUUUGCCGUUGCUCCAACUCCUUCUGGACAGAGGUGGCUUCUCCAUUUCAUCCAGUAGUGAAAUUUCUUUUCUCUCCUAUCGGGUGAAGUUGUAUUGUUCUUUUUGUCAGGUCCUGUCCUAUGGAUUUGUGGGAUUCUUACUCGUUUCAUUUUUGGGCUUACUCACCUUGAGUUGGGCCUAAUCGUAUUCAAUUUUAUUUCUUUUUCAACAAUUUUGCAUCAAUAGUUGUUUUGUCUUAUGUUUUGUUUCAGGCUUCUAACUUCCUCUUCUUCUCCUUUUUCUUUUUUCUUUUUUUUUUUUUUUUCAAACUGAUUCUGAUUGAAGUUUAAACUUGAAAUAUUAGAAUUCUAACAACUUCAAUAUCAAUGAAGUAAAUAUGUCGAUG
Molecule: long non-coding RNA, 1653 nt
Filed under: Manihot esculenta (cassava)
Lineage: Eukaryota; Viridiplantae; Streptophyta; Magnoliopsida; Malpighiales; Euphorbiaceae
Description: long non-coding RNA (MESC_LNC001728)
Source: RNAcentral